Molecule: ribosomal RNA, 440 nt
Filed under: uncultured bacterium
Lineage: Bacteria
Description: partial 16S ribosomal RNA
Rfam family: Bacterial small subunit ribosomal RNA
Source: RNAcentral
CCUACGGGCGGCAGCAGUGGGGAAUAUUGCUCAAUGGGCGAAACCCUGAUCCAGCGACGCCGCGUGAGCGAAGAAGUCUUUCCGUGUUUAAAACUCUAUCAGCAGGGGAGAAAAUGACGGUACCUGAGUAAGAAGCUCCGGCUAAAUACGUGCCAGCAGCCGCGGUACUCCGUAGGUAGCAAGCGUUAUCCGGAUUUACUGGGCGUAAAGGGAGCGUAGGCGGGCUGCCAAGUCUGAUGUGAAAUACCGGGGCUCAACCCCGGGGCUGCAUUGGAAACUGGCAGGCUGGAGUGCCGGAGAGGCAGGCGGAAUUCCUAGUGUAGCGGUGAAAUGCGUAGAUAUUAGGAGGAACACCAGUGGCGAAGGCGGCCUGCUGGACGGUGACUGACGCUGAGGCUCGAAAGCGUGGGGAGCAAACAGGAUUAGAUACCCCAGUAGUC